GCCAGACAGCUAGCUUAACCACCAAAAUUAACCCAAUAAUAUAGAUAAUUUAGCAUUAAAUAAAUAAAAAAACUAAAUCAUUUUUCCACCUUAGUACGGGAGACGGAAAAGGUAAUUUAAGCAAUAGAGAAAGUACCGCAAGGGAAAGCUGAAAAAGUAAUGAAAUAAUUCAUUUAAGCACGAAAAAGCAGAGCUUAACCCUUGUACCUUUUGCAUCAUGAUUUAGCCAGCACUACUCAAGCAAAGUGACCUUUAGUUUGAAACCCCGAAACCAAGUGAGCUACCCCGGGACAGCCUUAAAGGGCGAACCCGUCUCUGUGGCAAAAGAGUGAAGGCCAAGUGAGCUACCCCGGGACAGCCUUAAAGGGCGAACCCGUCUCUGUGGCAAAAGAGUGGGAAGAGCCCCGGGUAGAGGUGAUAAACCUACCGAACUUGGUGAUAGCUGGUUGCCUGAGAAAUGAAUAGAAGUUCAGCCUCGUACCCCUUUAGCCAACCAAGAAAUGUCUAAAUAAGCACAAAAGAGAAAUACGAGAGUUAGUUAAAGGGGGUACAGCCCCUUUAAUAAAGGACACAACCUUAAAUAGGAGGAUAAGAGUCACAUUUUAUAAAACUAGUUGUUCCAGUGGGCCUAAAAGCAGCCAUCUGAGUAGAAAGCGUUAAAGCUCAAACAACAUUCAGUUUAUUAUACUGAUAAAUAGCCCAACUCCCCUAAGGAUAUCAGACCAUUCCAUGCCACCAUGGAAGAGACCAUGCUAAAAUGAGUAAUAAGAGGAUAUGAUCCUCUCCCAGCACAAGUGUAAGCCAGGUCGGACAAACCACUGGAAAUUAACGAGCCCAGUAAAAGAGGGCAAUGUGGCCAACAAGAAAAUCAAGAAAAUACCACAAUCUUUAUAUCGUUAAACCCACACUGGAGUGCUUCCAAGGAAAGACUAAAAGAAAAGGAAGGAACUCGGCAAACACAAGCCUCGCCUGUUUACCAAAAACAUCGCCUCCUGCAAACCCCUACGUAUAGGAGGUCCAGCCUGCCCGGUGACUACAAGUUUAACGGCCGCGGUAUUUUGACCGUGCAAAGGUAGCGCAAUCACUUGUCUUUUAAAUGAAGACCUGUAUGAAUGGCUAAACGAGGGCUUAGCUGUCUCCCUUUUCAAGUCAGUGAAAUUGAUCUACCCGUGCAGAAGCGGGUAUAUGCAUACAAGACGAGAAGACCCUUUGGAGCUUAAGGUACAAAUUCACCUACGUUAAGCAGCUUAUUAAGCAAGUGUAAACCUAAUAGAAAUUGGAAUUUUACCUUCGGUUGGGGCGACCAUGGAGAACAAAUAAUCCUCCAAGUGGACUGGGAUAAACCCUAGAACCAAGAAUUACACUUCUAAGUCACAGAAAUUCUGACCAAAUAUGAUCCGGUCAUAAGACCGAUCAACGAACCAAGUUACCCUAGGGAUAACAGCGCAAUCCUCUCCAAGAGUCCAUAUCGACGAGAGGGUUUACGACCUCGAUGUUGGAUCAGGACAUCCUAAUGGUGCAGCCGCUAUUAAGGGUUCGUUUGUUCAACGAUUAAAGUCCUACGUGAUCUGAGUUCAGACCGGAGCAAUCCAGGUCAGUUUCUAUCUGUAAUGUCAUUUUUCCUAGUACGAAAGGACCGGAAAAAAGAGGCCUAUGCUAAAAGUACGCCUUACCCCUAAUUAAUGAAGACAACUAAAUUAAGUAAAGGGAGGACUCAAGAUUAUAGGCCAAAAUAAGGCCUC
This 1742-nucleotide ribosomal RNA is filed under the name Triplophysa pseudostenura. RNAcentral describes it as "16S ribosomal RNA". It matches the Rfam family "Bacterial large subunit ribosomal RNA". The record is from RNAcentral. Lineage: Eukaryota; Metazoa; Chordata; Actinopteri; Cypriniformes; Nemacheilidae.